AUGAAGAGGUCUUUGACUAAUAGGGGUUGUACACAUGCAAAAAGUCAGUAUCUUCACAUGAGGUGUGUGGCACAUAUUGUUAAUCUAGUGGUCCAAGAUGGGCUAAAGAUAAUGUGCCAUCCAAUAAACAGAAUUCGAAGUGCUAUCAAGUUUGUGAGAGCCUCCCCAACUAGAUUGGAUUUAUUUAAAAAGUGUGUGCAGCUUAGCAAGGUAGCGAGUAAAGGUUUGAUUAAUAUUGAUGUGGCUACUAGAUGGAACUCCACAUUUAUAAUGCUAGAGACUGCUGAGAAAUUUGAGAGGGCAUUUGAGCAAUAUGCACUUCAGGAUCCCAACUACAAGACUGAGUUAGAAAAAACUGGUCCAGAACCUAAGCCUGAUACUCCUGAUCAGCGGGGUCCUCCAACUCAAAGUGAUUGGGUGUAUGUUCGUGAGUUCAAACAAUUCCUCCAACACUUCUAUCUCCUCACUAAUAAGGUUUCUGGCACUAAGUACGUUACAGCCAACACCUUCUUGGAAGAUAUUGCUGAUGUACAUUUUAUGUUGGGUCAAUGGAGUGAUCAUGUGAUUUGUGGUGAUGAUGAAAUAUUUAAAUGCAUGGCUACCAAGAUGAAAACCAAGUAUGAGAAGUACUGGGGUGAUCCUGAAAAGAUGAACAAGUAUAUAUUCAUUGUUGCCAUCCUUGAUCCAAGUUGUCUUGUCUUAAUUCUUUAUGCAAGGACCAAGGAAUCUCAUUUCUUUAAAGAGAUGAUUGAAGACACCUUGAGGUCACGAUACAACCAGAAAAGAAUGAGAGUUUGCGGAGAGGGCAGCACUAGCACAAAUACCAGAACUGAAUUAGACAAGUACCUAGCUGAGGACACAGAAGAGUUGACUGCUGAAUUUGACCUUCUUGAAUGGUGGAAGUGCAAUGCUCCUCGCUUUCCCGUCCUUUCAAAAAUGGCUCGUGAUAUACUAGCAAUCCCCAUCUCUACGGUUGCUUCUGAAUCAGCUUUCAGCACUAGUGGUCGUAUUCUCGAUGACUUCAGAAGCUCUUUAACACCAGCAACACUGCAGUCGUUGAUAUGCACACAAGAUUGGUUGCGUUCUAAGUGUAUCAAUGUUGAAGCUGAUCUUGCUGAGUUGACCAGGCUGGAGGAAGAAGUGGGUGCCAUUCAUUUAAAUGAUAAUGUGACAAUAUCGAUUGAUUGA
This 1188-nucleotide ribosomal RNA is filed under the name Triticum aestivum (bread wheat). Its description in RNAcentral is "partial small subunit ribosomal RNA". Lineage: Eukaryota; Viridiplantae; Streptophyta; Magnoliopsida; Poales; Poaceae. The record is from RNAcentral.